This 492-nucleotide ribosomal RNA is filed under the name uncultured bacterium. Its description in RNAcentral is "partial 16S ribosomal RNA". It matches the Rfam family "Bacterial small subunit ribosomal RNA", at positions 29 to 507 of the family's 1533-position model. The record is from RNAcentral.
AGUGAACGCUGGCGGUAGGCCUAACACAUGCAAGUCGAACGGCAGCACAGUAAGAUCUUGCUCUUACGGGUGGCGAGUGGCGGACGGGUGAGGAAUACAUCGGAAUCUACUUUUUCGUGGGUGAUAACGUAGGACAACUUACGCUAAUACCGCAUACGACCUACGGGUGAAAGCAGUGGAUCUUCGCACCUUGCGCGAUUGAAUUAGCCGAUGUCGGAUUAGCUAGUUGGCGGGGUAAAGGCCCACCAAGGCGACGAUCCGUAGCUGGUCUGAGAGGAUGAUCAGCCACACUGGAACUGAGACACGGUCCAGACUCCUACGGGAGGCAGCAGUGGGGAAUAUUCGACAAUGGGCGAAAGCCUGACGCAGCCACACCGCGUGAGUGAAGAAGGCCUUCGGGUUGUAAAGCCCUGUUAUUGGGAAAGAAAAGAAGCAGGUUAAUCCACCGCUGUUCUGACGGUACCCAAAGAAUAAGCAACGGCUAACUUCGUG